GGGGUUGUGACCUGUGAAGCUGGAAUCCGGGGAUCUUGGAGAAAGAGGGAGCUGAGGUAUCAGAGAAAGAACGAGAGGAUGGACUCUUCCCAGGCCUCCCCACCACAUGGACACCAUACCAACAUUAGCAGUCACAGAUGCCAGGUGUUUUGCGCAAGCGAUUGAAAGCUGACCAAUACAGGAGUGGAGUGACUUCAUGGGGCGGCUGGAGAGAGAUGAGGAGUGAAUGUCUUCCACACUUGUCAAAUCCACAUCAAUGUUUGGAAAAGCUGGCGUCACAACAGCGCUGACUUUGGAGGAAAGAGAAGGCAAGAAAGAGAAAAAAAGAAGAAGAAAGACCAACCUUAAAAACUUAGGCUACUGACAGUCUUUGUCCAGUGGGCAUCAGGCGAUAAAUACAGAACACUAUUCUAACCAUGUAGUAAGCAUUCAAUAAUUCAUUGAUGGGGACAAGUAUUAGAUCAAUUGUCUUUUAGGCCUCUGGUUGCU
RNAcentral lists this long non-coding RNA (489 nucleotides) under Chinchilla lanigera (long-tailed chinchilla). RNAcentral describes it as "lncRNA (ENSCLAG00000026859.1)". The record is from RNAcentral. Lineage: Eukaryota; Metazoa; Chordata; Mammalia; Rodentia; Chinchillidae.